Molecule: long non-coding RNA, 505 nt
Filed under: Homo sapiens (human)
Lineage: Eukaryota; Metazoa; Chordata; Mammalia; Primates; Hominidae
Description: HSALNT0040035
Source: RNAcentral
AAUGGAUCAAAAUAUUCGGAUAAUGACUGGAAUAAACCAGCUGUAAAAGUACUUUUCCCCAAAAAAACAGGAUUCAAAUUGGGACGCAUAUUAGAUAAUACUAAGAAUUGUUAAUUUUAUUUCAUGAGGUAACGAUUUUGUGGUUAUGUUAAAACAUCAUUAUUUUUAAGUGAUACAAAUAGUAUUGGGAAGGGAUAAGGCCAGGGAUCUACUUUAAAAUAUUUCAGUAACAAAAUUCAAUAGUCAUAGAUAUUGCCUGUAUGGCAAAAUGUUGGGAAGUGUUGAAUUUAGGGUAGGCGCAUUUGGUGUUUCAUGUUAUCAUUUUCUUUUUUUAUUUUUCUUUUUUGUUUUUGAGAUGGAGUCUCCUCUGUCACCCAGGCUGGAGAGCAGUGGCGUGAUCUCAGCUCACUGCAAGCUCCGCCUUUUUGUGUUAAUAUCGUAAGUUUCAUUAAAAAAUUUUUUUCCUGCCCAGAAGGAAAGUGGAAAAAAAUUACAAAAAUAAAAA